UUAAGUCUUUUCUUGUUUAAAGUAGUUUUUUUUAUUUUAUACAAAGCAAUAUUAGGGGUAGAGAAGGGGAGGGAAAUUGAACCAGAAAGCUCGGUACAUGAAUAAAUACUUUCAACCACUUGGGCUACAAAUUCGUUGCGUAUUGUUUUUGUUUGGACAUACACCUAUUGUAUUAAUUUUCUCGUGAUUUAUAUCCCUUGUGCAAGUCAACCAUUGACAUGAAUUUGGAAAAGCAUAGAAAUAUCAUUAAGUUAUUUGUAGUGCAUGUAUUUGUGUCUUUUUGGUAGUCCCUUUUUAACUUUUCUCUGGAAGCAAUGAUGAUGGGAUGGUGGGCUUUUCAUGUCCAAAGAAACAUAUUGAUGAUUUGUGUUAGACAGGUGGUCGAUUUUGAUUGGCUCGGAGUAGUAGGUUUGUGGUUUCACAUAGGAUUCCAAGAAGCAUAUUAAUGCUCUGAAAAGAUAUGCAUAUAUAAAUGCUCUUUUGGCUUUUGGCCGGAGCUCUUGGUGUAUGGUACUAUUGGAGGCUACCAUUUUUGGAUAGGAACGUUUGCGAUAGAGAGGCAGAGAAAAGAAUAAAUAUUGAGCUAGUUCGAAGCUGCAAGCAGAAGGAUAGCGAGGCAAUGCAGAAGAAGAAGCCAUGGGAAGUGCCAGCUACUGUAACAGAAGUGGCAAGGGAGCUCAGAAACAAGAAUGACGCAGGGCAAGGAGAAAUUGAGUACUUCUUUUCAAUUUCCUUUUCAGCAGAAGAAAAUACAAAUCCCACACCAAAAGUUUAAUUUCUACAGCUUUUAUGAGAAAGAAAAAUGUAUGUAAGGUACACAUUCUGCGAGGGGUUGAUCAAAAAAAUGAUAUUGCAGAAAAAAUAUUUGUUAAAUAUUGAAGACCUUGUAGCAUGGCUUAUGGUUCUAUUUCCAUGUCGCAGUCUCCUGGUAUAUCAACUGUAAUCUUGAAACAAAAAACCGUAGAAAAGAAAACCACCAGCAUGUUUUGUUGAAGAACUAAAUUAUGAUAAAUUUUUUUAA
Molecule: non-coding RNA, 1021 nt
Organism: Prunus avium (sweet cherry)
Lineage: Eukaryota; Viridiplantae; Streptophyta; Magnoliopsida; Rosales; Rosaceae
Source: RefSeq, a predicted model, not a curated record